AAGACCUUGCACCUUUGGAGCGGCCGAUGUCUGAUUAGCUAGUUGGUGGGGUAAUGGCCUACCAAAGCUUCGAUCAGUAGCUGGUCUGAGAGGACGACCAGCCACACUGGGACUGAGACACGGCCCAGACUCCUACGGGAGGCAGCAGUGGGGAAUUUUGGACAAUGGGGGCAACCCUGAUCCAGCCAUGCCGCGUGAGUGAAGAAGGCCUUCGGGUUGUAAAGCUCUUUCAGCCGGAACGAAACGGUUACGGUUAAUACCCGUGACUACUGACGGUACCGGAAGAAGAAGCACCGGCUAACUACGUGCCAGCAGCCGCGGUAAUACGUAGGGUGCAAGCGUUAAUCGGAAUUACUGGGCGUAAAGCGUGCGCAGGUGGUUUUGUAAGUCAGAUGUGAAAUCCCCGGGCUUAACCUGGGAACU
This 423-nucleotide ribosomal RNA is filed under the name uncultured bacterium. RNAcentral describes it as "bacterial SSU rRNA". It matches the Rfam family "Bacterial small subunit ribosomal RNA", at positions 207 to 622 of the family's 1533-position model. The record is from RNAcentral.